AUAACUCCUAUAUAACUUAGGAUAAGUUUUCUAUUUAAGUUUCCGAUAAGGAUGAUAAUUAGGUUUCCCUAUUUACGUUAGGCUUUAAACUUUAUGUUCUUGAGUAUAUAUACUCAUCCAUUUCAUCAAUAAAACAUAAGAUCUUUAUUUCAAACCUACUAUUUGUCAGACUUCUCUGAUUUUCAUGUAACUUUGACUAGAUUCAAA
RNAcentral lists this long non-coding RNA (207 nucleotides) under Brassica rapa (field mustard). RNAcentral's name for it is "long non-coding RNA (BRAP_LNC006785)". Lineage: Eukaryota; Viridiplantae; Streptophyta; Magnoliopsida; Brassicales; Brassicaceae. The record is from RNAcentral.